Molecule: long non-coding RNA, 231 nt
Organism: Phascolarctos cinereus (koala)
Lineage: Eukaryota; Metazoa; Chordata; Mammalia; Diprotodontia; Phascolarctidae
Source: RefSeq, a predicted model, not a curated record
AUUUAUUCAUUCAUCUGAGCCUCACAACAACCUGGGAGGUAAUUUCAGGGGCUGGCUCUAGGAGGGGAGGUCAAGAAAUCAGAAGAAAUAUCAUGUAGAAGAAAGCACCUGUGCUAAGCUGAGCUCUGAAGGAAGCUAAAACUUCUAAGAAGCAGAGCAUUAUGCUAAUGAGGCAUUGGAGGGAGUGAAGACAGUGGAGAGCCUCCUUCUACAGGGACUAACGACAAUUUA